GACCUGGUGGUGGAUGGUUCACACUCACCGUUCUUGUGCACAUUUUCUACUCAUAUAAGGUGGGGAGUCCUGGUUCGAUUCCGGGUUGGGUCA
Mycena metata is the source of this 93-nucleotide non-coding RNA. The record is from the annotation of a GenBank genome assembly. NCBI's taxonomy places the organism in Eukaryota, Fungi, Basidiomycota, Agaricomycetes, Agaricales, Mycenaceae.